Molecule: ribosomal RNA, 491 nt
Filed under: uncultured bacterium
Lineage: Bacteria
Description: partial 16S ribosomal RNA
Rfam family: Bacterial small subunit ribosomal RNA
Source: RNAcentral
AGUGAACGCUGGCGGUAGGCCUAACACAUGCAAGUUGAACGGCAGCACAGUAAGAGCUUGCUCUUACGGGUGGCGAGUGGCGGACGGGUGAGGAAUACAUCGGAAUCUACUUUUUCGUGGGGGAUAACGUAGGGAAACUUACGCUAAUACCGCAUACGACCUACGGGUGAAAGCAGGGGAUCUUCGGACCUUGCGCGAUUGAAUGAGCCGAUGUCGGAUUAGCUAGUUGGCGGGGUAAAGGCCCACCAAGGCGACGAUCCGUAGCUGGUCUGAGAGGAUGAUCAGCCACACUGGAACUGAGACACGGUCCAGACUCCGACGGGAGGCAGCAGUGGGGAAUAUUGGACAGUGGGCGCAAGCCUGAUCCAGCCAUACCGCGUGGGUGAAGAAGGCCUGCGGGUUGUAAAGCCCUUUUGUUGGGAAAGAAAAGCAGCAGGUUAAUACCCCGCUGUUCGGACGGUACCCAAAGAAUAAGCACCGGCUAACUUCGU